This 1451-nucleotide long non-coding RNA is filed under the name Canis lupus familiaris (dog). RNAcentral's name for it is "lncRNA (ENSCAFG00000053473.1, ENSCAFG00845024731.1)". The record is from RNAcentral. Lineage: Eukaryota; Metazoa; Chordata; Mammalia; Carnivora; Canidae.
GAGGUGCUCAAUAAAUGGCAGAAAUUAUUUUCAGUAGAAAGUUCAAUAGAGGAAUGAAAAAUCAAAUUAAAUGUAACACAUGACAUAAAUUUCUAAAUAUCAGUUCCUUUCAACCCCAAGAAUCUAUGAUUCUUUACAUCUUUCUUUGUAAUUUUCUCAAGGUCAUACAGCUUUUAGGUGGUGAGGCCUGCUUUCUCUGAGAUGGGUCUACUCUUGUGGGCUGCCUUGGGCAGGGUUGCUAGCAGUAAGUCAUUGCCCAUCAGGGCCAAUUAGAUAAUUACAUCAGCAAUUGACCCUGGGGAUAGGAUCCUGUUCCUUUAAAUUCUGAGUAUGCUCUGGGAAAGUUCAAAGAGGGGAAAACCUGGGAAGGUUGUUGAAAUGGUGAGCUACACACAGAACAAGUUACAGCUUGAGGAUACCAUGGACCUCAGCUUGAGGAUACCAAGUUACAGCUUGAGGGGGUACAUGGAGAAUUGUCUUUUAAAAAAUAGAUUCAAGAAAAAAUGUGAAAACAGGCUUAGCCUGUCUCACCAUUUUUUCAGGUGUAAAUAAGAGAUAUCACUUUGAAAACCAGUCUCUUCAGUUGUAGGCAAAAGCAGUGUACUCAAUCUGCAAAGGCAAGACAAACCUGGGUUGGGCUGAGUUUUCCCAAAGCCUCCUUUUCACCCUGCUUCUUCCCGAAGGAAAUGACUUGCUGGACUGGGGCUUCUCAGAUUUACUCGAGGCUCCCUGCUGACCUCUGUUGAAUAUUUCUGCCUCAGAUUUACCCUGGAAACAAGGAGAGCUCCUGUGACAAGAGACCUGAAGAAACAAACACCUAGAAAAAGUCUCUUUGUCUCAGGUAUCACACACUCGACACAGGCUGACCCUUUGAACUUGUGUAUUUUCUACAGGCUGCUCAAAUGUUAUAUCUUGGCCCAUUCAACUUUCGGUGUGAAAUAAAAAGUAAAUAGUAUGAAUUUAGCUCACUAUAGCUUUGGCCUUAGCCAAAGGAAAGAAAUACCAACAGCUUCCUUUGGCAAGUAGCAACUUAUUUUAGCGUUUUCCCUCUUCAGACCAAAGCCCUUGGUAGAAACCAACGUUGCAGCCCAAGCCCACACAAAAACCUCAGAUUUUAGUCAUAUGUCUCACAAGGAUAUUACAUCAUUUCUUAGUUUACCAAACGGAAACAAUGGCAGGCUCAAAAUUACUAACUUGAGGGGAGUGUAAUGAAAAGACUAUUUACAAAGGUAAACAGGGUUUGGGGGGGAAGCAACAAGGGAUAGUAUCCUAGGGUGAAUAGCUGCAAGCAAAGGAAAUGGGAGUACAGUAGUUAGUUACAGCAGUGGUUCUCAAAUUCUGUACCAUCAGAAUCUCUUGGAGGGGGACCCCUGGGUUGCUCAGUGGUUGGGCACCUGCCUUUGGCUCAGGUUGUGAUCCCGGGAUCCAGGAUCAAGUCUUGCAUCAGGCUC